This is a non-coding RNA of Pantherophis guttatus, 878 nucleotides long. Lineage: Eukaryota; Metazoa; Chordata; Lepidosauria; Squamata; Colubridae. The record is from RefSeq and is a predicted model, not a curated record.
GUUCCAGGGGAACAGAAUCAGAGAAAGGCCCAACUAACCAUGGUAGAGACUCAUUCCCAACAUCCUUCCUUCAAAGGUUUAAAGUGUACCUAUUCCAAAACAUGGUGAACAGAUCUGUGAAGUGGGCAGCUGGCUGUUUAUAUCAUGGAUGAAGAUCCCACUUUCAUCUUUGAGAUCCACAGAGAAGUCUUUCUUGAACUUUCUUUAUUGGACAAUAUCUUUUUCAUACCUUUCUGAGCAUCAAUGUAUUCCUACUUUCUUUUAAAUGUCACUGACAACAAUGCCUGACAACUUCCAUGUCCAUUUUGUCAGAGGUUGGAUGUGAAGGAUGAACCAGAGAAAUGAGAUCACAGUAUCAGCUUGUAUAUACUGGCCAGAAAAAUACGAUGGAACCUUCAGCCUACUAAACACUAAAGCAUUGUGAUAGCCAAAUCGGUUGCUUGUUGACAGCACUGAAGACUACAGACAGAUGAGAGAGGCUGAAGUUCGCAUCAAAGUCGCAAGGAGGUAGACAGGCACAAAUGAGCCGCAGCAAGUAACUCGUUCUAAUCUCUAAUAGAACAAGCAAGGAAGAAAGCAAACUCUUCACAACUGUCACCAGUGGCUAUGCUUUUAAAAUGAGAAUGUUGGGGAUGGUUUCAUCAGGAACAGGCAACAGCUUGUAAAAUCUCACUUUAUUUUAUUCCUGCUUUCCGGGUACAUAAUUUAUCUCUUUGAUUAUGCAUAUAGCAUUUAACAUAAGAAAAUUAGUACGCAAAGGGAUAGAAUUUACAAAGCAGUUAUUACUGACUUCAGAUCACAUAGUCUCAAGAUAACUAUAAUUGAAACCAGCGCAAAUGAUGACAGCAAAUAAUUUUUAUAGGAUUUUCUAACAGACA